Nothoprocta perdicaria is the source of this 97-nucleotide unclassified non-coding RNA. It matches the Rfam family "Y RNA". Rfam says of the family: Y RNAs are components of the Ro ribonucleoprotein particle (Ro RNP), in association with Ro60 and La proteins. The Y RNAs and Ro60 and La proteins are well conserved, but the function of the Ro RNP is not known. NCBI's taxonomy places the organism in Eukaryota, Metazoa, Chordata, Aves, Tinamiformes, Tinamidae. The record is from Ensembl.
GGCUGGUCCGAAGGUAGUGGGUUCACAGAAAUUAUUUACCGUUAGUUAAACUAACCUUUCUAUAUUCCACCCCACUACUAACCUUGACUGGUCUUUU